AACGUAGGAGGCGAGCGUUAUCCGGAGUUACUGGGCGUAAAGAGCGUGUAGGCGGGUAAGCAAGUUUGGCGUGAAAGCUCCCGGCUAAACUGGGAGAGUGCGCUGAAGACUGCGUGUCUAGAGGCGAGUAGAGGGACGUGGAAUUCCGGGUGUAGUGGUGAAAUGCGUAGAGAUCCGGAGGAACACCAGUGGCGAAGGCGACGUCCUGGGCUUGACCUGACGCUGAGACGCGACAGCACGGGGAGCGAACGGG
Molecule: ribosomal RNA, 253 nt
Filed under: uncultured bacterium
Lineage: Bacteria
Description: partial 16S ribosomal RNA
Rfam family: Bacterial small subunit ribosomal RNA
Source: RNAcentral